This is an RNA transcript of Osmerus eperlanus (European smelt), 1864 nucleotides long. It is a transcript of the gene named pleckstrin homology domain containing, family A (phosphoinositide binding specific) member 1a, with no coding region annotated. Lineage: Eukaryota; Metazoa; Chordata; Actinopteri; Osmeriformes; Osmeridae. The transcript has 14 exons. The record is from RefSeq and is a predicted model, not a curated record.
GAAUGCCGGAGGUGUUGUGUUCAGCUGGCUGGCUGAGGUGAAGUUAAAGAUUAGCCAGUGACCCCACCCAGGCCCAGCUCCUGAGGGUGUGUGGUACUGUACACUGCUGGCUGCUGACCUGAAGCUCUCGGCCUCCUCCCUGCGUUUGCUGCCGGAACCCCAGCCCAGGGAAUGUUCCGGAGGGGACAUGCCUUACGUGGAUAGGCAGAACCGGAUCUGUGGCUUCCUAGAUAUCGAGGAGAAUGAGAGCAGCGGGAAAUUCCUCCGUCGCUACUUCAUCCUGGACACACAGCUGGGUAGCCUGGUCUGGUACAUGGACAACCCGCAGAAUCUGCCCGUGGGUGCAGACUGUGUCGCCUCCCUCAAGCUCACCUACAUCUCCAAGGUGAGCGAUGCUACCAAGCAGAGACCAAAGGCUGAGUUUUGCUUUGUCAUCAACGCUGGGAUGAGGAAGAUCUUCCUGCAGGCGAACGACCAGCAGGACCUGGUGGACUGGGUCAACGCUCUCAACAAGGCCACCAAAAUAACUGUCCCCAGGCUGGGUGACGGCCAGCAGGACGUGCAGAGCCAGGGAGCCCUGCUGGAGCAGGCGGGGCCCAGGAAGCAGGCGUCCUACAGGACGGAGAUCAUCGGAGGGGUGCCCAUCAUCACCCAGACGCAGCAGGAAGGUGGAGAGGGCCAGGAAGGACCAGACAGGGAGGGUCUGCGACGGUCUCACAGCCAGCUUCCGUACUUCCUGGGCAGGCCGGCUCUGGACCAGACGGUCAUCAAGUCUGGCUACUGUGUCAAGCAGGGCGCCGUGAUGAAGAAUUGGAAGCGGAGGUAUUUCUUACUGGAGGAGAACUCGAUGAGUUACUUCAAAUCAGAUCUGGAAAAGGACCCUCUGAGAGUGAUCCCAUUGAAAGAGGUUAACAAAGUCCAGGAGUGCAAACAAAGUGACAUCAUGAUGAGGGACAACCUGUUCGAGGUGGUCACCCCGUCCAGGACCUUCUUCCUCCAGGCCGACAGCCCGGAGGAGAUGCACAGCUGGAUCAAGGCCGUGUCUGGAGCCAUCGUGGCCCAGCGGGGCCCCGGGAGGUCUGCAGCCUCAAUGCGGCAGGCCCGCCGGCUGUCGAACCCCUGUAUACAGAGGUACACGUCCCGCAUCGGGGAGUGCAGCAGCACUCUCCUGCAGCUGUGCACGUGUCUUAGAUGUGUAACAUCCUGCCUGUCUCUUGUCCUUCCUCCUGUCCGCAGCCUGUACGUCCACACACACACACACACGUUUAUAUUUGUGUCUCUGUGUGGUAGUCUGUGUUUCAGUAAUGUCUAUGUGACUGCUCACUAACAUUGUCUAUCUUUCUGUUCUGUAUUUCUGUUCAUCCCCUCCUUGUUUUUCAGAGAGUGAAGUCUGAUAGUAAAAUACUAGCAUUGAAACACUGAGAUAUUCCAUCUACUGCUCCCAGCUCUCUUCUAACCCUCCUACCCAUCACCACUCUACCCAUUCCACCACCCAUCACUACUAUACUCUACCAGCUUUACUUCUAUUACCUACUACUAUUCUACUCUACCAGCUCCAUAUAUACUUCUACUGAUCACUACUCUACCAACUACAUAUAUACCUCUACUCUACCAGCUAUUAAUUCUUCUACUACAUACUACUCUACUGUAUCAACCAGCAUUCAUCCAGGAUGCUGUCAGAACAUCUAUGACUGCUACCAACACUUCUCCUACUACCACCACUACGGGAACCCUGCGGUCGUUCCUCUCCCUCCACAUUCUACCGGAGCCCCGCGGGCCCCCCCCUCCCUCGCUCGCCCAUAUCUGCAGUGCCACCCUUCUCAGAGUGCCCUGCUGUCGCGGGCGGCGCACGCCCGCAGCAUGG